UUUUUUAGUCCUAGGAUGUAGGCACCUCUUCAGCUUUCCUGCACAUUGUACUGCAUUGCCAGUAAUGCAUCUUUCUGCUAACAGAGGGCAAUACAGAAAAGCGAACACACACACACAAAGCCUACUCUUCUCUUCUCAGAAACAAUUCCAUUAGAAGACAAUCAUUUCAGCAAUUUAAAACCUGGUCUUAGAGGAUGCUGAAGGAUUUGCUUUGCUUCAUGAGAAUGUGCUUCAGUGUCCUCAUGCAGAGAUGGGAGAAAAAAAGUCACGCUGCCUCGUAGUCUGCAAUGCUAAUCGAGCAAAUGCUGGGGAGACAGGCCAGCAUUUUGUGGUUUCUGGCUGAUUAACUGGCAAUGGGAUAACCAAUCAAUGAAGGUGCUUGCCUGCCAGGGAUAACAGAGGAGAACAUGUGGGCUCGAGUGCCUCUGUAGCAGAGGAGGGAGGAUUAAACAAGGGUCCCCCCCAAUCCUGAGGGUGUUAGCUCACCCAGCACUGAUGGGAACACUGCACUGCUUGCAAUUCUCCAGCCCCAGCUGAAAAAGACUUGUUUGCUGCUCAGUUUGUGAAAGAAAGACACUGGCACCUUUCCCCUCUGGAGAACGGAUGGAGGUAUGUCCCUGAAAAUCCCCAAGGAACAUCCUACUUUUCCAUGCCAGCUUUGCUUUCUGAUGCCCGUAGGCAUUUUCCUGGGGAGCAUGGGGUACCAUGCGGACCAUGCUCAGAGCUACCGACUUCAGCUCAG
Long non-coding RNA from Harpia harpyja (harpy eagle), 742 nucleotides. RefSeq lists it as uncharacterized. The transcript has 3 exons. NCBI's taxonomy places the organism in Eukaryota, Metazoa, Chordata, Aves, Accipitriformes, Accipitridae. The record is from RefSeq and is a predicted model, not a curated record.